Molecule: ribosomal RNA, 496 nt
Filed under: uncultured bacterium
Lineage: Bacteria
Description: partial 16S ribosomal RNA
Rfam family: Bacterial small subunit ribosomal RNA
Source: RNAcentral
GAUGAACGCUGGCGGCGUGCCUAAUACAUGCAAGUCGAGCGAACAGACGAGGAGCUUGCUCCUCUGACGUUAGCGGCGGACGGGUGAGUAACACGUGGAUAACCUACCUAUAAGACUGGGAUAACUUCGGGAACCGGAGCUAAUACCGGAUAACAUGUUGAACCGCAUGGUUCAACAGUGAAAGACGGUUUUGCUGUCACUUAUAGAUGGAUCCGCGUCGCAUUAGCUAGUUGGUAAGGUAACGGCUUACCAAGGCAACGAUGCGUAGCCGACCUGAGAGGGUGAUCGGCCACACUGGAACUGAGACACGGUCCAGACUCCUACGGGAGGCAGCAGUAGGGAAUCUUCCGCAAUGGGCGAAAGCCUGACGGAGCAACGCCGCGUGAGUGAAGAAGGUCUUCGGAUCGUAAAACUCUGUUAUUAGGGAAGAACAAAUGUGUAAGUAACUAUGCACGUCUUGACGGUACCUAAUCAGAAAGCCACGGCUAACUACGUG